UACGGAGGGUGCAAGCGUUAAUCGGAAUUACUGGGCGUAAAGCGUGCGCAGGCGGUUUGUUAAGUCCGUUGUGAAAGCCCCGAGCUCAACUUGGGAAUUGCAGUGGAUACUGGCAGGCUGGAGUACGGUAGAGGAAGGUGGAAUUCCCGGUGUAGCAGUGAAAUGCGUAGAUAUCGGGAGGAACACCAGUGGCGAAGGCGGUUCUCUGGGCCUUACCUGACACUGAGGAGCGAAAGCGUGGGGAGCGAACAGG
RNAcentral lists this ribosomal RNA (253 nucleotides) under uncultured bacterium. RNAcentral describes it as "partial 16S ribosomal RNA". It matches the Rfam family "Bacterial small subunit ribosomal RNA", at positions 524 to 776 of the family's 1533-position model. The record is from RNAcentral.